AACGAACGCUGGCGGCAGGCUUAACACAUGCAAGUCGAACGCCCCGCAAGGGGAGUGGCAGACGGGUGAGUAACGCGUGGGAAUCUACCUAGUUCUACGGAACAACAGUUGGAAACGACUGCUAAUACCGUAUACGCCCUACGGGGGAAAGAUUUAUCGGAAUCAGAUGAGCCCGCGUAAGAUUAGCUAGUUGGUGGGGUAAUGGCCUACCAAGGCGACGAUCUUUAGCUGGUCUGAGAGGAUGAUCAGCCACACUGGGACUGAGACACGGCCCAGACUCCUACGGGAGGCAGCAGUGGGGAAUAUUGGACAAUGGGCGCAAGCCUGAACCAGCCAUGCCGCGUGGGUGAUGAAGGCCUUAGGGUUGUAAAGCUCUUUCAGUAGGGAAGAUAAUGACGGUACCUACAGAAGAAGCCCCGGCUAACUUCGUGCCAGCAGCCGCAGUAA
RNAcentral lists this ribosomal RNA (447 nucleotides) under uncultured bacterium. Its description in RNAcentral is "partial 16S ribosomal RNA". It matches the Rfam family "Bacterial small subunit ribosomal RNA", at positions 29 to 523 of the family's 1533-position model. The record is from RNAcentral.